This is a long non-coding RNA of Gasterosteus aculeatus aculeatus (three-spined stickleback), 3110 nucleotides long. Lineage: Eukaryota; Metazoa; Chordata; Actinopteri; Perciformes; Gasterosteidae. The record is from Ensembl.
UUUUUAACUUUAACUUUAUUCUCUUAUUUUAUACUAACCCAUAGCCUUAUUCCACUAACCCAUUGCAUUAGCAUUUCAUUUUAUUACUUGUGCACUGCUGUCCUGUUGUCUAUUGUUUCUACUGUCACGCACCAACCGCCAAGACAAAUUCCUUGUAUGUUUGACAUAUUUUGGCAAUAAAUGUUUCCUGAUUCCAGAAAUAAAAGAAAGGGAAAGCAGGAAAAUGGUGAGGGGUGGGGGGUGGGGAACAGAACUGUUUCAGAUGCGACAAGAUUCACAAGGUCCAGAUUUUCACUAGAACAAUGGACCUCAAGUCCAAUUUCAACCUCAAAAUAAGAAAACCCAUAUUGAAAGUAUCCCAAAACCAAAUUAAAUACAUUUUUAAAACACUAUUUAACGAUGAUUUUAACCUUACAAACUUUAGCAGCUUUCAACUCCGGUGAAUACACACAAAUCAAUUUUAUCCAAUUACUUUUAGCUUGAAUACUUUUUAAAACACACAUUUCAUUAAAUAUAUAACAGUUUAUCUUGCAUUUGAUGCCAUAAUUAGUCGACCACUCAAAAGCUCACCGGCUCCUCCUUCAGGCUUUAUUCUUUAUUCUUCCUGUGAGUGAGUGAGUUCCUCCAACCCGCCCUGAUCUCCAGAUCGUCUCCACCUGGUGCAUCCGGAUGCUCCUCCCUGGGAGACGUGACCUAAGCGUUGCCUCGACAUUCACAUCACACGCACAAAAGAUCCGCGAUGAAUAAGAUGUGCGGCGUGUUCAGCAGCACGAAACAGAUGAUUGUCAUUAACGCGACGUCGUUGUGUGUUCGCUCCUCAGUUCGCAUGGAUGCUUGGCUGUGGCAGCCUCAUCACGGAUUACUCUGCGUCGCAUUUCUGCCCAUGACGACCUCGUACUUACACGCCUUUAGGUGCCAUAAACCGAUUUUCAUAUUAGUUUGACGUCGACUAUUAAAGAAUAUCGAAUUUUAUGCAAUUUCUGCAUCUGAUCAAUUCUACUGAAAGUUAUUCUUUCAAAGUCUAGCAAAUAGUAUAUUUACUUUUAUUCUAGUGGUACUUUAGAACCAUAGUGAAGCAGCUGCGUUAUGUAUUUUCUUGCUUAUAAAUGAAUAUCUAGAACUAACGUUGGCAUCAUGUGUUUUGCCUGAAACAAAGAGGAGCGACUGACCUUCGUCGGCGUGAUCAAACGAUGGCUGCGACUUCUGUUUGUUUAAACUGGGUUCAGGCGGGAAGGAUCUCAACAUCCGGCCUGAAGACGAGCGACGCCGUUCGACACCAAUUGUUCCAACAAUUCCUGAGUCUGGAAGUGAGGUGUGAAACGAGCGCUGAAGAACCAGCUUUUAGACCUUCGCGGCGGGACGGUGCAACCGGUCAAAUAAAGCCUGAGCCGUGACAGGCUGACCCAACAUUUUUAAUUCAAAUCAAUAAUGCGACAGAAAAGUGGGUUGAACCAUCUGUAGAAAGCUGCUUCCCCUUCCGAUGCUGGUACGGUGCAGAAAACUACAUUUUCUUUUGAGACCAACCCCCCCCAACCAAGUGAGUCGUCUGUUGGUUAGAAAAAGAAAAAAGAAAAGUUCCAUUUGGCAAAGAGGGGAAAGGAAGCAAGUCCGUGGAAAGGCUACAGAGACGCAUUUAAACCGCGGCCUGCAGGUCUGUGCGUCGGGUGUUCUGGAACCUCACGUGGACACUCUGCAGACCUCAGACCAACACUGGCUUUUUUUUUUUUUUUUACUUUGGUCUCAUCUAAAUCAGCAAACCGCCUUCAAAAGUUCAUCGCCUCUUGAAGGCAGACUUCCUAGAGGCGCCGAAUCAAGGACAAAGAGGCCGCACGAGGGUUCGGACUGACAAGACGCACCAAAAAAACAACAACCACGAGCGCGCUGGAAGGUGGCCGGGGAGUUCAGGGGUGCGCGCGGAUCUGAUUGGCUGAGGCUGCGCGUUGGCAACAGUUGCAGCAACCGUUGCCUCACAUUCGGUGUAAUGCGUCUGAACAGAGCCUCACGCUCCAGAACCGCGGCCGAAGCACAACGAGCACCUGGACACCAGGAGCUUCCCAAAGGGGUCGCUUUGUCUUCAGCGGCCUGCUGCCAAGUGCUUCGCUUGGUCUUCAGAACUGGUUCGGCGGCGGCGGUUUAGGUGGGACUCCCGGUUCCCAGUUUGGGCUCCGAUGACGUCUCACUGAAUCCGUCAGAACCCACGCAGCCUUGAUGGAAGGAGGGACGGCGUUUUGGUACAGCGCAGUAAUAAAACCAUCAUGUUACUUCCAUAAUAAAUAAUAAAAAAAAGAAUAAUAAUUACACCCCAUAAAAAAAGCUUGUCAUAUCCUACUCAAUGCAGUGGAAUACAUAAGAACAUUUACAAAUAACUGCAGCAAAAAAUAAAACAGCGUGGUAUUUUUAAAAGUGUGUGAGCAUGCGGCUUAAGAGACUCAGACCGACGGGAUCGGAGAUCUACCGUUGCAUUAGGUAACAGCUGGUUGGGCUUUCUGUGGGAAUUCAUCUUAGUUGUUCCUGUAUACAUUUCUUUUUAUAAAAUAUUUUAUUCAUACAAUCAUUUCUUUAACUAAAAGCAACAUUACUAUUUCAUUUUGAGUGGCAAGAUAUCAGUUGCACAUCAUUUCAAGAACAAUAGUAUAUAAACAAAUGCAGAAAAAAAAAAAUUAUUCUGUAUCCAUUUGAGUAUGUCUCUCAGUUUGUCCCGUGUCUGUACACCUGUCUUGUCCGUCAGUGGUGAGCCAAUAGGAGUAUUGCUGGUCCUGGGGGAGAGGGUGGGGGGGGGGGGGGGGGUCGGUACAGCUCUGAACAAUGGUGUCUCUGCUGGAUGGUCAGCGGGAGGUCCCGUGUGUGGCAGAACAGGCUGGACGUCGGCUGGACGUCAGGAGACCCUCACGCCGGCCCGUUGACAGCCGGCUCCGAGGACACGGCGCUCUGGUCCCGUCUGGGAAGACGAGGCGGGCAAAAGACCACGUCCACUUUUUUGAGUAACGGCAGUAAAAAGGAGGAGCUUAGUGUGCCGGUGGCUGCAGUCGAGACUUACUUGGCCUCCUCGUUGGGGGACAUGUCCUCCAGAGGACCGUUGGGAAGCUCGACACCAGGCCGACACUUCUCAC